Molecule: ribosomal RNA, 491 nt
Filed under: uncultured bacterium
Lineage: Bacteria
Description: bacterial SSU rRNA
Rfam family: Bacterial small subunit ribosomal RNA
Source: RNAcentral
AAAUGAAUAGACGGGGGCCCGCACAAGCGGCGGAGCAUGCGGAUUAAUUCGAUGCAACGCGAAGAACCUUACCAAGGCUUGACAUACACCGGAAUCAUGCAGAGAUGUGUGAGUCUUCGGACUGGUGUACAGGUGGUGCAUGGUUGUCGUCAGCUCGUGUCGUGAGAUGUUGGGUUAAGUCCCGCAACGAGCGCAACCCUUGUCUCGUGUUGCCAGCAUUUAGUUGGGGACUCACGAGAGACUGCCGGGGUUAACUCGGAGGAAGGUGGGGAUGACGUCAAAUCAUCAUGCCCCUUAUGUCUUGGGCUUCACGCAUGCUACAAUGGCAAGUACAGAGUGUUGCGAGCCUGUGAGGGUGAGCGAAUCACUUAAAGCUUGUCUCAGUUCGGAUUGGGGUCUGCAACUCGACCCCAUGAAGUCGGAGUCGCUAGUAAUCGCAGAUCAGCAACGCUGCGGUGAAUACGUUCUCGGGCCUUGUACACACCGCCCGU